Molecule: ribosomal RNA, 515 nt
Filed under: uncultured bacterium
Lineage: Bacteria
Description: bacterial SSU rRNA
Rfam family: Bacterial small subunit ribosomal RNA
Source: RNAcentral
CACGGUAAACGAUGGAUGCCCGCUGUUUGCGAUAUACUGUGAGCGGCCAAGAGAAAUCGUUAAGCAUCCCACCUGGGGAGUACGCCGGCAACGGUGAAACUCAAAGGAAUUGACGGGGGCCCGCACAAGCGGAGGAACAUGUGGUUUAAUUCGAUGAUACGCGAGGAACCUUACCCGGGCUUGAACUGCCAGCGAACGAUACAGAGAUGUUGAGGCCCUUCGGGGCGCUGGUGGAGGUGCUGCAUGGCUGUCGUCAGCUCGUGCCGUGAGGUGUCGGCUUAAGUGCCAUAACGAGCGCAACCCUUUUCGUCAGUUGCCAUCAGGUGAAGCUGGGCACUCUGGCGAUACUGCCACCGUAAGGUGUGAGGAAGGUGGGGAUGACGUCAAAUCAGCACGGCCCUUACGUCCGGGGCUACACACGUGUUACAAUGGGGAGUACAGAGAGUCGGUGCAUGGCAAUGUGCAUCCAAUCAUGAAAGCUCUCCUCAGUUCGGAUUGGGGUCUGCAACCCGACC